UCAUCAGAAUCUGAUCCUUGACAUCGUCUACUCUUUUACUCUCAAAAGAGCAGCAGUAAUUGGAAAUUGAAGAGGAUGAAGCUCGAUCUUUAAGGAAAAAACGAGAGAAAAGAAGUGGGCUGGUUAAUCGAAAAUUGCGCUGAAAAA
This is a non-coding RNA of Caenorhabditis elegans, 147 nucleotides long. NCBI's taxonomy places the organism in Eukaryota, Metazoa, Nematoda, Chromadorea, Rhabditida, Rhabditidae. The record is from Ensembl.